Long non-coding RNA from Carassius carassius (crucian carp), 810 nucleotides. RefSeq lists it as uncharacterized. The record is from RefSeq and is a predicted model, not a curated record. The transcript has 4 exons. NCBI's taxonomy places the organism in Eukaryota, Metazoa, Chordata, Actinopteri, Cypriniformes, Cyprinidae.
AGUUCUGUCAGAGCCAUAUAGAGAGAGAGUUGCGACAACUCCAUUGACUCCAAUGGAACGCUUUUUUUACAGCAAUGGCGGCUCGUGGAGCCUCUCAAUAGUUCCCAGAAGUAGCAGCAAACCGAUGCCGCGCCGUAGAGAUGCAGCAGAACAAACCGUUUGCGACGCACUUUUAAAAGGUGGAGGAUUAGUGCUGCCACUGGACUGUUCUGUGAUGGAGCAUCAGUGAGGAUGCAGACCCAGGUAACUGGCUGAUGGUUCACUGGAAUGCUGACUGGCUGCUGACUGACUUGCUCUGGCUGACUGAGUAGUGUCAUCUGUCCCUGUCUCUCCUCUCUAGCCAUGUCCUCUAUUUCUUCACUGUCACUUUCCCUUCUCUGAGUGUCCUCAUUCUUUUUUUCCUCAACCUUUGAAACUGAUAGAGGCAGAAUACAUGGUCUAGGGGUGCAUCGUGGAGCAGGGCCCUCCUCUUUUUGACCACAGGAUGAUGUACAAAAGAUUGUGGGAAUAGCAUCUGGUCUCAGCCUCCUCUUGAAUUUUUUGGUCAUGACAAAUUGGUUUGCCUCAAAAUGUGCCUGCAGUGACUUGAGUUUAGUUUCCAUUUACAACUUUUUUUUUGUCUACCCACAUACGGUACAUAUCACAUGGUGGUUAAAUGCACAGUUAUAGGUAACACUGAUGACGCCCUGCAAUGUCUCACCAUGAGUCUCAGCUCCCUGGGUUUUGCAAGGCUUUGCUUGUUCCUUAUUUCUAGUAAAUCAUUUUCAAUGUAAAAAAGUGCAAAUAAAUUUAAGUAUAAUUACCUAACAA